This 868-nucleotide ribosomal RNA is filed under the name Cutibacterium acnes. RNAcentral's name for it is "bacterial SSU rRNA". It matches the Rfam family "Bacterial small subunit ribosomal RNA", at positions 8 to 883 of the family's 1533-position model. Lineage: Bacteria; Bacillati; Actinomycetota; Actinomycetes; Propionibacteriales; Propionibacteriaceae. The record is from RNAcentral.
AGAGUUUGAUCCUGGCUCAGGACGAACGCUGGCGGCGUGCUUAACACAUGCAAGUCGAACGGAAAGGCCCUGCUUUUGUGGGGUGCUCGAGUGGCGAACGGGUGAGUAACACGUGAGUAACCUGCCCUUGACUUUGGGAUAACUUCAGGAAACUGGGGCUAAUACCGGAUAGGAGCUCCUGCUGCAUGGUGGGGGUUGGAAAGUUUCGGCGGUUGGGGAUGGACUCGCGGCUUAUCAGCUUGUUGGUGGGGUAGUGGCUUACCAAGGCUUUGACGGGUAGCCGGCCUGAGAGGGUGACCGGCCACAUUGGGACUGAGAUACGGCCCAGACUCCUACGGGAGGCAGCAGUGGGGAAUAUUGCACAAUGGGCGGAAGCCUGAUGCAGCAACGCCGCGUGCGGGAUGACGGCCUUCGGGUUGUAAACCGCUUUCGCCUGUGACGAAGCGUGAGUGACGGUAAUGGGUAAAGAAGCACCGGCUAACUACGUGCCAGCAGCCGCGGUGAUACGUAGGGUGCGAGCGUUGUCCAGAUUUAUUGGGCGCAAAGGGCUCGUAGGUGGUUGAUCGCGUCGGAAGUGUAAUCUUGGGGCUUAACCCUGAGCGUGCUUUCGAUACGGGUUGACUUGAGGAAGGUAGGGGAGAAUGGAAUUCCUGGUGGAGCGGUGGAAUGCGCAGAUAUCANGAGGAACACCAGUGGCGAANGCGGUUCUCUGGGCCUUUCCUGACGCUGAGGAGCGAAAGCGUGGGGAGCGAACAGGCUUAGAUACCCUGGNAGUCCACGCUGUAAACGGUGGGUACUAGGUGUGGGGUCCAUUCCNACGGNUNCNNNGCCGUANCUAACGCUUUAAGUACCCCCGCCUGGGGNNUAC